Molecule: ribosomal RNA, 429 nt
Filed under: Chloroflexota bacterium
Lineage: Bacteria; Bacillati; Chloroflexota
Also listed under: 1 other name
Description: Chloroflexi bacterium partial 16S ribosomal RNA
Rfam family: Bacterial small subunit ribosomal RNA
Source: RNAcentral
UGGGGAAUAUUGCACAAUGGGCGCAAGCCUGAUGCAGCCAUGCCGCGUGUAUGAAGAAGGCCUUCGGGUUGUAAAGUACUUUCAGCGGGGAGGAAGGGAGUAAAGUUAAUACCUUUGCGCAUUGACGUUACCCGCAGAAGAAGCACCGGCUAACUCCGUGCCAGCAGCCGCGGUAAUACGGAGGGUGCAAGCGUUAAUCGGAAUUACUGGGCGUAAAGCGCACGCAGGCGGUUUGUUAAGUCAGAUGUGAAAUCCCCGGGCUCAACCUGGGAACUGCAUCUGAUACUGGCAAGCUUGAGUCUCGUAGAGGGGGGUAGAAUUCCAGGUGUAGCGGUGAAAUGCGUAGAGAUCUGGAGGAAUACCGGUGGCGAAGGCGGCCCCCUGGACGAAGACUGACGCUCAGGUGCGAAAGCGUGGGGAGCAAACAGG